CGUUUUAUACUGUAUAUAUAUAUAUAAAGUUUUUUUAUUGAAUAGCAAUUAUCAGGUAUAAUAAUUGUCAAUUGAUAUUGUUAAGUGAUUACCACAGACAUUUAAUCAUAAUUUUAAGUAUCUUAUAUCUUAUAUUAAUUACUUAAUAUAUAUGCUAAUUUGUUAUAUUAGGUAAUUACUGAAUUUCCCUUUAUUAUUUAUUAAUAACUAUAUUAACAUUUAUAACAAAAAAGAAAUUUGUUUUGUUUUUAUUUUAUUCUAAAUUUAAAAAAAUUCACCAAGUUAAUGUGAUAUGUUAAUUUAUAAGUUUAAAUACUUAAUACAAUUUAAAAUUAUAAUAAUUAUAAACUUCAAAGAAAAAAUAUAUAAUUCCUUACGUUUUAGUUAGGCCCAGUCUCGCCAACGUAAACGUUGAUUUUUGAAAAAAGUUUAUAAGAUAAUCGAUCAAUCGUGGAUUUUGAAUUUCGAAAUUUACGAGUGAAUAUUAUAUUUUCGUAUCGAUUUCUAGUUUCCCCUGUUUACGAGGAUACUUUUUUAGUUUCAUACUACUAUUAUGGAAAACCGUUAUUGAGCAAUUGUUUAUAUUACUCGGUUGUCACGAGCGACGCCACUACGACGACAGGGCUUCGUUAGUCGCGAUAAUGUAGAAGGGAAUCCAAUAUUCCGACGCUGAUAAGUUUUCUAUUGCAAAUAAAAAUAAUAUAAUAAACUAGGUUGCUCUGUCACACCGCAUUGCUUUUGGCUAAAGCAUCACGGCAAUAAUUUAAUUCCAGGUUCAUGGGCAUUAUCGUAUAGUAUUGUGUCAUUCUACUUACCAUUGUUACCGCGGUGACCAAGACCGUGAUUUUUAAUAAUACAACAGUUAUCACGAUUUAAAAUGGAACGAUAAGACUCAUGAACCUCGAAUUAAAUAGCGGCGGAUAGGAAAAUUCCCACGUCUUACCACCAGUUAACAAUCUAGUUCAUUAUAAUAUAUAGGAAUAUAUCUGAUAUGCUGCGUUGUCUAAUAAGUCCAUUGGCUAACUCAUUUUUCCUCGCAAUAUUAUGACCAAUUGAAAAUUUAAAAUAAGAUGUAAUAAUAAUAAUAAUAAUAAUAAUAAUCCGUAGUAAUAAUAAUUUCAUAUAGAUACUUAAUAUAGUCUUAUAACACGCCUCGUUGACUGGCUUGUCUAGCGCAUACGGGUGUACACAAAAACAUGCUUACAAAGAUAAUAUUAUUAUAGUUUAUA
Non-coding RNA from Cinara cedri, 1229 nucleotides. The record is from the annotation of a GenBank genome assembly. Lineage: Eukaryota; Metazoa; Arthropoda; Insecta; Hemiptera; Aphididae.